Molecule: long non-coding RNA, 289 nt
Organism: Nothoprocta perdicaria
Lineage: Eukaryota; Metazoa; Chordata; Aves; Tinamiformes; Tinamidae
Exons: 2
Source: RefSeq, a predicted model, not a curated record
CUUUCGCAAUGAAUCCAAGGCAGCUUCGAUCGAGCAGUGAGCUGGAGCACCUACGUACAGGCUACUCCUUGAUGUGACUGAAAAGAGGCCUAUUCCGGGACUCUGAAAGGACGGUGGGGCUGUGGAUUUACCUCCCACACACCUGGGCACUCAGAGUACAAGCACUGUGAGAUACCAGUGACAGAUGGAUCUCUCUCGUGCACACGUGCUCUUUCCUUCUCUAUAUUUUUGCUUUCGACAUGUUUGAUCUGAAGUUCUGAAGCUUCUCAGAGGGAACCCGGGAGAGAAG